Molecule: long non-coding RNA, 799 nt
Filed under: Homo sapiens (human)
Lineage: Eukaryota; Metazoa; Chordata; Mammalia; Primates; Hominidae
Description: HSALNT0250372
Source: RNAcentral
UGAGCUCAUAUUUCCCCCAUAGGGCAGGUCAUGUCAAAGCACGAUUUCACAUACUGCUGCGUGGCCAAGUAGGAUUGUUAUCUUGCAAGGUAGGAAGAAGACAAGAAGAAUGAAUAAAAUAUGUGCUUGGGAAUCAUCUGUGCCUCAAAUCUGAGAAGGAAAAUCUAUCAUCAGGUCCACAGAGUACAGAUAAAGCUGAAAAUGAAAUCAAAGUCCAAAGGCUGGAAGUGAUACUGAUGCAAGAAUACAACAGGCUGGGAAAAGAAAUGGAAAAGCUAAAACAAAAACAAAAACAAACUGAUAAAAAAGGCAUCCAAGGCAUGUGCCAUGGAUGAGGUUAGAAGCUUGGAUACUUGUUUUCUUAGUAGAUAGCCACAUGUUCAAGGGAGGAAGAGAAUAUUUUCAAGUUUCUUCUGAGAACUAGAUUCCAUGACAUAGGUUGUGUGCAAUCUAUUAAUGUUCUAGGAUAAGUCUUCACCUAGUAUUCUCAUUUCCUUAAACUUUUCCCUUUGGAGCUGUGAUACCAUGGUGCUUUUGUUCUCUCUUUACCUCCUUAAUAGAUAGUACAUGUCCUUUACAGGACUCACUUCCUCUUAUGCUUCUUAAAUUCUGAUAUUCAUAAGAAUGAAAUGGAGGUAUUGCAAAGAAAGAAGCCAUGUCGUUCAUACCAAUGUUUUUUUUUUUUUAAAGUAGCCUUUUUUAUCCUUUGGGAUCUCAUUUCAUCAAAUCUCUUUUCUCCAACAUGUCAUGCUGUAUUUGCAAGAAAGUGUUUCAGUGUUUAUUUACACCCCCAGUUUUG